RNAcentral lists this ribosomal RNA (253 nucleotides) under uncultured bacterium. RNAcentral's name for it is "partial 16S ribosomal RNA". It matches the Rfam family "Bacterial small subunit ribosomal RNA", at positions 524 to 776 of the family's 1533-position model. The record is from RNAcentral.
UACGAAGGUCCCAAGCGUUAUCCGGAAUUAUUGGGCGUAAAGAGCAUGUAGGCGGUUUACUAAGUUCGAUGUGAAAGCUCUAGGCCUAACCUAGAAAUUGCAUUGAAAACUGGUGAACUAGAAUACUGGAGGGGCAAGUGGAAUUCCAUGUGUAGCGGUGGAAUGCGUAGAUAUAUGGAGGAACACCAAUGGCGAAGGCAGCUUGCUGGACAGUAAUUGACGCUGAGAUGCGAAAGCGUGGGGAGCGAACAGG